Drosophila santomea is the source of this 722-nucleotide long non-coding RNA. RefSeq lists it as uncharacterized. The record is from RefSeq and is a predicted model, not a curated record. The transcript has 3 exons. Lineage: Eukaryota; Metazoa; Arthropoda; Insecta; Diptera; Drosophilidae.
GAUAACAUCACUCAGAACGUUUUGUUAUUUAAUUGUAAAUUUUUUUAUUUACAGGGAAUUAAAAAAUUCAUUUCGGCCAAAAUUGAAAUGAACUCGUGAACAUUUUCGUGCGAUCAUUUUUCACAACCUUCGACGUGGAUUAUCACGACAAGAGUGUAUCGAUGAACUAAAAUCUUUGUAUGGCCGUAAAAAAGGUUUGUUCUCGUUGGAUCCCGCACAAUCUAACAAUCGCUCAAAGAAAGGCUCGUGUGGAUUGGUGUGACGAAUCAUUGAUCUACCCGUAUGAGCCCGAAACAAAAGAGCAAUCGACCGUGUGGGUCUUCCAAGACGAGCCAAAUCCAACGAAAGUUGUUCGUGGAAGAAGCACUUCGAAGCAAAUUUUUGGCAACACUGGUCAUGUGUGAUAAUGUUCCGCUUGAGCAAACACCAUUUGUUUGCCUGAAGUCUUCGGAGAAAUGGGAAAAACGACCAUGAGAAGACGAAUCAUUGUGCAUCAUAACAAUGCGAGCUCUUACACAUCGGCUCAAACCAGCGCCUUUUUGACCGGCCAAAACGUCGAAUUGAUGGAUUAAGAAAAUAAUGCGUGGUCAACAAUUUUCCUCGCCAGAAGAUGCUGUUGAAGCAUUCAAAAACCAUGUUGUGGAGGUGUCUCAAUCGGAGUGGAAAAAGUGUUUCGAAAAUUGGUUUGAGCGCAUACAAAAUCGUAUAAAUCUUGAUGGAGA